CCACUGGGCUUCACCCGGACCUGGUGACUCUGAUCUCUACCUGGGCCUCACCCGGACCUGGUGACUGUGGUCCCCACCUGGGCCUCA
RNAcentral lists this microRNA precursor (87 nucleotides) under Canis lupus familiaris (dog). RNAcentral describes it as "miRNA (ENSCAFG00845014078.1)". Lineage: Eukaryota; Metazoa; Chordata; Mammalia; Carnivora; Canidae. The record is from RNAcentral.